This is a non-coding RNA of Thiothrix eikelboomii, 362 nucleotides long. The record is from Rfam. Lineage: Bacteria; Pseudomonadati; Pseudomonadota; Gammaproteobacteria; Thiotrichales; Thiotrichaceae.
GGGGGCGACAUGGCUUCGACGUGGGUUACAAAACUUGGGGAGCAUGCAGUGGGUGUGGUGACCACUUAAACACUAGUCACAAAAAAUAGUCGCAAACGACGACUCUUACGCUCUCGCAGCUUAAUAACCUGCCGAUAGCUGUCUGACCGAGGCCGUGCUUAUGCGUUCGGGUUUCAGGCAUCAUCUAACAUAAGAUCGCGCUUACGUUUGUUCAGGGCAAGAGUGCUAAAACCAAACUGAAACAGCCUGCAAGCCAGCCUGUCAAUCGGCGGGAUGCGGGUUAAACAAAAGAUUGAAUAAGCAUGUAGCGCCUUCAAGCAGCGGAUUUGCGGACGGGGGUUCAAUUCCCCCCGCCUCCACCA